UGGCUAUUGAGGCAUCCGCCAGAUGUAUAUGUUGUCAAUACAUGUAAUGCAGAACUAUGGAAGUAGAAGAUGCAAGAAUUGUGGCCUACUGAUUGUCUUUUCUUCUGUAGAAGGAAUGGGGAUACUAUUUGUUUCUUUUUCUUUAAUUUUUUCAUGUGCCCGUUACAUUUCUUUUGAGCGAGGGAUUUAUUACUGACAACUUCUCUAUACCGCAAGGGUUGAGGUAAGGUAUGCAUGUAUCUUACACUCUCA
This 252-nucleotide unclassified non-coding RNA is filed under the name Hevea brasiliensis (rubber tree). Lineage: Eukaryota; Viridiplantae; Streptophyta; Magnoliopsida; Malpighiales; Euphorbiaceae. The record is from RNAcentral.